CGCUGUUGUAGCUCAGUGGUAGAGCACUUCCUUGGUAAGGAAGAGGUCGUGAGUUCAAUCCUCAUCAACACUC
Molecule: transfer RNA, 73 nt
Filed under: Cyclobacteriaceae bacterium
Lineage: Bacteria; Pseudomonadati; Bacteroidota; Cytophagia; Cytophagales; Cyclobacteriaceae
Description: tRNA-Thr
Rfam family: tRNA
About the family: Transfer RNA (tRNA) molecules are approximately 80 nucleotides in length.
Source: RNAcentral